AUCACCUUUUAAUUAAGUCCCGCGAGACUUAAAAGGGUGUUCCUGUUCGCGUAAAAAGGAAAAACCGAAUGCGAAAAGCGGUUUCUUUUCCUACACCUUUUUACGCCCAAAAACGGUGCAGCACCCUGUCGGUUAGGCAGGGUGCUUUUUUUG
The sequence is a regulatory RNA element, 153 nucleotides long. It matches the Rfam family "PyrR binding site". From Rfam's summary of the family: This family represents the PyrR binding site and terminator structure. This RNA structure is found upstream of a variety of genes involved in pyrimidine biosynthesis and transport. The alignment also includes a portion of the antiterminator structure. The record is from Rfam.